GUCUUUUUGAUUAUUUAUGAAAAGUCUAACCUGCCCAAUGAAUAAUAUUUUAAUGGCUGCAGUAUUUUGACUGUGCAAAGGUAGCAUAAUCAUUAGUUUUUUAAUUGAAGGCUGGUAUGAAUGGUUGGACGAAAUAUUAACUGUUUCAUAUAAAUUUAUAAUAAAAUUUUAUUUUUUAAUGAAAAAGUUAAAAUUUAUUUAAAAGACAAGAAGACCCUAUAAAUCUUUAUAUUUAUUAUUAUUAUAAUUUUAUAUAUAUUUUUUAUUAUAGUAUUUUAUAAUAUUUUAUUGGGGUGAUAUUAAAAUUUAAUAAACUUUUAUAAUUUUAUACAUUUAUUUAUGAAUAUUUGAUCCAUUAUUAAUGAUUAAAAAAUUAAGUUACUUUAGGGAUAACAGCGUAAUUUUUUUGGAGAGUUCUUAUUGAUAAAAAAUAUUGCGACCUCGAUGUUGGAUUAAGAUAUAAUUUUAGGUGUAGAUGCUUAAAUUUUAAGUCUGUUCGACUUUUAAAUUCUUACGUGAUCUAAGUUCA
This 529-nucleotide ribosomal RNA is filed under the name Tachinidae sp. BAH_28365_H03. RNAcentral's name for it is "partial 16S ribosomal RNA". The stretch from base 389 to 529 matches the Rfam family "Bacterial large subunit ribosomal RNA", at positions 2473 to 2613 of the family's 2925-position model. The record is from RNAcentral. Lineage: Eukaryota; Metazoa; Arthropoda; Insecta; Diptera; Tachinidae.